CAUUUCAGCAACCAAAUUGGAUAAAACAGACAACGUGCAUGGCUGGAAUUACAAUGUAAUACGCAGUAGGGUAGCAUUCUUCUUGUCAGGUCUUCCCGUCUCUCCUUCUCCAAAAAUCAGAUUGUCAAAGGCGACAUACCGCCCUGCAGAGGGCCCUCUCUGGGAUGACAGAGUGUCUGGCCGAUCUGACAGGAAAGGAAACCCAAAUGUGGGAAGGGCUGGUUGCCACAGUGCUGAGCGAGGACGCAAGUGAUGGAUGGAGGUUGUUAGAUCCAGUAAUUGUGUUCAGGUUAAUACUCAGUACAGGUGAUGCUCACACAUUCCAGCUCAGUAUCUCACUAAGAUGACGACCUGUUUGACAUUAAUCCAGCCGGAGCUGAAACAUCUCCAUUCCAUGUUUCCAGGACCAGCCAAACUAUGGAGAAAAAGCUGCGACUUACAGUCCUGAAAAUACAGUAAUGAGAGAAAAACACAAGACAGUUG
Molecule: long non-coding RNA, 483 nt
Organism: Poecilia latipinna (sailfin molly)
Lineage: Eukaryota; Metazoa; Chordata; Actinopteri; Cyprinodontiformes; Poeciliidae
Exons: 5
Source: RefSeq, a predicted model, not a curated record